Non-coding RNA from Anolis carolinensis (green anole), 120 nucleotides. The record is from Rfam. NCBI's taxonomy places the organism in Eukaryota, Metazoa, Chordata, Lepidosauria, Squamata, Anolidae.
GAAAAUAGGUCUAAAUAUCCCAAAAGUUUCACAUUCCAUGUGAUCUUGAAAGCUAAGCGGGAUCAGCCCUGGUUAGUACUUGGAUAAGAGGCCACCAAUGAAUACCAGGUGCUGUAGCCU